GAAAUCAUCAACCAAUCAACAUGAAGUGCAUCGCCAUCGUCUCCACCAUCUGCCUGCUGGCCGCUUUCGUUGCCGCCGAUAAGGAGGAUAAGAUGCUCGGCUCCUCCUACGGUGGUGGCUACGGCAAGCCCGCCGCUGCUCCGGCUCCAUCCUACUCCGCUCCGGCUGCCGCUUCCCCAGGCCUACGCGCCCCAGCUGCUCCAUCCUACGCCGCCGCUCCGGUCUCGAUCCCGGCUCCUCCUUGCCCCAAGAACUACCUGUUCAGCUGCCAGCCCAACCUGGCCCCAGUGCCAUGCAGCGCCCC
Molecule: unclassified non-coding RNA, 304 nt
Filed under: Drosophila melanogaster (fruit fly)
Lineage: Eukaryota; Metazoa; Arthropoda; Insecta; Diptera; Drosophilidae
Source: RNAcentral